GCCUACGGGGGGCAGCAGUGGGGGAUAUUGCACAAUGGGGGGAACCCUGAUGCAGCGACGCCGCGUGAGCGAAGAAGUACCUCGGUAUGUAAAGCUCUAUCAGCAGGGAAGAAAAUGACGGUACCUGACUAAGAAGCCCCGGCUAAAUACGUGCCAGCAGCCGCGGUAAUACGUAUGGGGCAAGCGUUAUCCGGAUUUACUGGGUGUAAAGGGAGCGCAGGCGGCCUGCCAAGUCUGGUGUGAAAACCCGGGGCCCAACCCCGGGCCUGCAUUGGAAACUGGGAGACUUGAGUGCAGAAGAGGAG
This 305-nucleotide ribosomal RNA is filed under the name uncultured bacterium. RNAcentral's name for it is "bacterial SSU rRNA". It matches the Rfam family "Bacterial small subunit ribosomal RNA", at positions 337 to 659 of the family's 1533-position model. The record is from RNAcentral.